UACGUAGGGGGCAAGCGUUGUCCGGAAUCAUUGGGCGUAAAGAGCGUGUAGGCGGCUCGGUAAGUCCGCUGUGAAAGUCCAGGGCUCAACCCUGGAAUGCCGGUGGAAACUGUCGGGCUAGAGUCCGGAAGAGGCGAGUGGAAUUCCCGGUGUAGCGGUGAAAUGCGCAGAUAUCAGGAGGAACACCAAUGGCGAAGGCAGCUCGCUGGGACGGUACUGACGCUGAGACGCGAAAGCGUGGGGAGCAAACAGG
RNAcentral lists this ribosomal RNA (253 nucleotides) under uncultured bacterium. Its description in RNAcentral is "partial 16S ribosomal RNA". It matches the Rfam family "Bacterial small subunit ribosomal RNA", at positions 524 to 776 of the family's 1533-position model. The record is from RNAcentral.